This 2587-nucleotide long non-coding RNA is filed under the name Eucalyptus grandis. Its description in RNAcentral is "long non-coding RNA (EGRA_LNC003235)". Lineage: Eukaryota; Viridiplantae; Streptophyta; Magnoliopsida; Myrtales; Myrtaceae. The record is from RNAcentral.
GUCACGCCCCGAUCCUCGGGCACGUGCCCAUCCUUUUCUUUGGUCGAUUUUAUAAUGCGAUAUCCCAGGACAAUAUAUCGCCGACCCUUUUAAUUUUUAAGCACAUGCGGAAGCAGUUAAAAUCCCCAGACAAUAAAACGAUGGGAUAGAAAAGCAGGGCCAUAUUUUUCAUAUUGAAAUUUAUAACCACACUUUUAUACAAACCACAAACCUCUUCAUAACUAUUCACAUCAAAACGGAGAUCUCAAAAGGAGACAGAAACUCUUAGCCAUCCGGGCCGUACUCAAGGCCCUUCUCGGGAUUAUCAUCUUCUCCCAAAAAUCUUUCUCCUUAAGUUUCACCUCCGAGUUCUCCUUCUUAGACUCCUCCUCUUCAGCUUCUCACCGGGGUCCUGAAAUGGUUUUCCCCAAACUGGGAUGAGACUACGUCUCAGCGAGUUCUACCCCACUAAGCCCGAUUAGUAAACUAUUAUACUAAAGGCUGCCUAAACACGCAUAGCUCAGAAGACGUACCUUAGCAUCAGAUCCCACCUGCAAGUCAGUACAAUUUACAAUAGACACUCAAGCAAUCAUAUCACCGAUCGAAGCAUCAAUCAAAUCGACCUAGUCGAUUACAAGCCAACAAGACCACUCACGGUCAUUUCCAUUCAGUCAAUCAAUUCACAACAUCAAAUCAAAACAAUGAUCAAUCGACCUCGUCGAUUACAUGUUAGACGGACCAUUCUGGGUCAAUUCGAUUAUUCCAUCUCAAUCAUUAAUUACGAACUACGAUCCUCAUAUCACAUCUUAAGCAAAGGUGGAAGACACAGUCCACCACUCGACCACUUUCGAUACUCAAUGGCUUUACGGUCCCACUCGACCACUUUCGAUACUUAAUGGCUUUACGGUCCCACUCGACCACUUUCGAUAAUCGAUACAUAGAAAUACGGCCACGUAGGCACAAUCUAUGCCACACAGGCAUGAUCAACUAUCGCCACACAGGCAUGAUCACUUAUCGCCACACAGGCAUGAUCACUUAUCGCCACACAGGUAUGAUCAACUAUCGCCACACAGGCAUGAUCAACUAUCGCCACACAGGCAUGAUCAACUUUCAACAAUUUACGAGCAUUCUCUAAGGCAACCUCUUCGCCAAGAUGACAUAAUCAACCACUGAAUACACGUGCAUUCUCCAGGUGAUAUUCCGAUUCACCGAGCCCACGUAUUUCCAUUCAGGUGAUAACCAAUACCCAACGAUUUCUCAAUCAAAUAAUUAAAUCAACUCAACAAAGCAUUAUAACCGCUGAAUAACAUACUUGGCCAUUUACCAAUCAACAAUUCAAUCUCAGUCAAUUUCAAUCAAUUUAGGGUAAAUCCCUAAAAUAUCACAAUUUAUUCAAUUCCAUACAACGUGGAGCUCAAAUGAAUAAACGGACUGCGCCACGACGAUCAGCACGAGAUUUCGGUCGUCGGCCAUCAAAAUCUUAAUUUCCGAAAAAUAAAUAAUUAAUUUAUUAAUUUCGAAAAUUACAUAAUUAAUAUUAAAAAUUCAAUUUAGCUCAAAAUAAAGCCCGAUUAAAUAAACGGACUUCACCACGGUCAUCAGCACAAUAUUCCGGUUCCAGACCAUCUCAGUUGAAUUUUCGAAAAAUAAAUAAUUAUUUAAUUUAAUUCCGAAAAUUAAUAUUUAAAUACUAAAAAUUCCACUUAGGCCCGAAUCGCCAAAUUGGAGCCCACAAAGGGUCGGAAAAUUCCCGAGAUGCUUCCAAUAAUUAGUAGACCACGUCUACUUGUUAAUUGCACAAUCAAUUUAUCUAAAUCACAUCACAAUUGACUAAUAAUUGCUAAUUUAUUUAAAUCUAACAACCUAAACAUAAUUAAUUAAAUCUAAACCAACCUUAAGCAUAAUUAGCCAACUAAUCCAAGAUUAGUGAGAUUACUCACCAAAUCGCGCGCAAAUCGGAUCAAUCCGACAGCGGCGAUGCGAGGAACGAUACUUCCCAAAGCAACUCGCGGAUCUGGGGCCGGGAAACGGCCCAAAACGGGCCCGAACCAGCUGGAAACCCAUUUCGUGGGUUUCUGCCCUUGGCUGGUCGGAGCAGAUCCGGUGGCCAAAACGGCGAGGGAAGGCCGGCGGAGAGCAAGGGGAACGCCGGGGAAGUCCGGCGGGGCUGGGCGGUGGCCGGAGGUGGCCGGACGGUGGCUGGUCAGGGCGGAAUCGAGCUAAACAGAGGCUGGUUCGUUCGGGGAGGUCGCCUGGUGCGAGGGACGGGGUCGACGGCGCACGGCGGCGAGCGGCGCACGCACGACCACGAGCGCGGGCGAGCGGCGCGGCGGCGGGACGAGCGGCGACGGUGGCUGGCUACUGCUUCCGAUCUCCUGGAGCUUCUGGUUCGUUCGUUUGCACAGAGAAGAAGGAAGAAGAAAGAGUGACGAGAGAGAGAGAGAGAUGAGAGAGAGAAGAGAGAAAGAUUAGGUUUGACUGGUCAAAAAGUAAAAUAAAAGAGAAGUAGAGUGGAAGACAGCAGAGGGGCGGUCGGCUGGGGAAGGGUUUUCGCACGAGGGGGAGGGGAGGAGAGAGAAGAGAGAGAAAAGGGAGAGAGAGAGAAAAA